AUACAUGUAAAAAUGUGUUAAUCAUUAAUUAAUAGUAUGGGAUAGUGUUUUUCGACUCAGCUACAGAUGCCGAUGGAGACCAGAACUGCUUUGGAAAAAUAUGAACGCCUUAGGGCCGAUCUGGAAGAAGGCUUAUUGACUGAAAGGGGCUUUCAUGAAAAAGUUAGAGCUUUGCUACAGGAUACGCCCUCUACAAGCCAAGGAAGUAAAAGUAAAGAUGCUGCUUUAAUUUUCAAUGAAAUGAAAAAAGCCAUCCAAGAGAAAACAUCAGUGAAGAAGAAGCAGUUUGCACUAUCUAAAAAGGAGAAACCCUCAUUUAUAAAGGUUUGCUGCAGAUGACUUAACUGAAAAUGAAAUAGUUCCUAUAUGUAUAAUACACAUUUAUCUAUUUGACUUAUGCCUUUAUCCAAGCAACUUGCAACA
Erpetoichthys calabaricus (reedfish) is the source of this 423-nucleotide long non-coding RNA. RefSeq lists it as uncharacterized. The record is from RefSeq and is a predicted model, not a curated record. NCBI's taxonomy places the organism in Eukaryota, Metazoa, Chordata, Cladistia, Polypteriformes, Polypteridae. The transcript has 3 exons.